AGUGAACGCUGGCGGUAGGCCUAACACAUGCAAGUCGAACGGCGGCACAGUAAGAGCUUGCUCUUACGGGUGGCGAGUGGCGGACGGGUGAGGAAUACAUCGGAAUCUACUUUUUCGUGGGGGAUAACGUAGGGAAACUUACGCUAAUACCGCAUACGACCUACGGGUGAAAGCAGGGGAUCUUCGGACCUUGCGCGAUUGAAUGAGCCGAUGUCGGAUUAGCUAGUUGGCGGGGUAAAGGCCCACCAAGGCGACGAUCCGUAGCUGGUCGGAGAGGAUGAUCAGCCACACUGGAACUGAGACACGGUCCAGACUCCUACGGGAGGCAGCAGUGGGGAAUAUUGGACAAUGGGCGCAAGCCUGAUCCAGCCAUACCGCGUGGGUGAAGAAGGCCUUCGGGUUGUAAAGCCCUUUUGUUGGGAAAGAAAAGCAGCAGGUUAAUACCCCGCUGUUCUGACGGUACCCAAAGAAUAAGCACCGGCUAACUUCGUG
Molecule: ribosomal RNA, 492 nt
Filed under: uncultured bacterium
Lineage: Bacteria
Description: partial 16S ribosomal RNA
Rfam family: Bacterial small subunit ribosomal RNA
Source: RNAcentral